GGACGUUUAGCUCAGCUGGUUAGAGUACAUCGUUCACAUCGAUGGGGUCGUAGGUUCAAGUCCUACAACGUCCACCA
RNAcentral lists this transfer RNA (77 nucleotides) under Fibrobacterota bacterium. RNAcentral's name for it is "Fibrobacteres bacterium (aquatic metagenome) tRNA-Val". It matches the Rfam family "tRNA". Rfam says of the family: Transfer RNA (tRNA) molecules are approximately 80 nucleotides in length. Their secondary structure includes four short double-helical elements and three loops (D, anti-codon, and T loops). Further hydrogen bonds mediate the characteristic L-shaped molecular structure. tRNAs have two regions of fundamental functional importance: the anti-codon, which is responsible for specific mRNA codon recognition, and the 3' end, to which the tRNAs corresponding amino acid is attached (by aminoacyl-tRNA synthetases). tRNAs cope with the degeneracy of the genetic code in two manners: having more than one tRNA (with a specific anti-codon) for a particular amino acid; and 'wobble' base-pairing, i.e. permitting non-standard base-pairing at the 3rd anti-codon position. The record is from RNAcentral. RNAcentral also lists the same sequence under 2 other names. Lineage: Bacteria; Pseudomonadati; Fibrobacterota.